GAUGAAGAACGCAGCGAACUGCGAUAAGUAAUGUGAAUUGCAGAAUUCAGUGAAUCAUCGAGUCUUUGAACGCACAUUGCGCCCCCUGGCAUUCCGGGGGGCAUGCCUGUCCGAGCGUCAUUGCUGCCCAUCAAGCCCGGCUUGUGUGUUGGGUCGUCGUCCCCCCCGGGGGACGGGCCCGAAAGGCAGCGGCGGCACCGUGUCCGGUCCUCGAGCGUAUGGGGCUUUGUCACCCGCUCGAUUAGGGCCGGCCGGGCGCCAGCCGACGUCUCCAACCAUUUUUUUCAGGUUGACCUCGGAUCAGGUAGGGAUACCCGCUGAACUUAAGCAUAUCAAUAAGCGGAGGA
This 347-nucleotide unclassified non-coding RNA is filed under the name soil metagenome. RNAcentral's name for it is "partial contains 5.8S ribosomal RNA, internal transcribed spacer 2, and large subunit ribosomal RNA". The stretch from base 1 to 120 matches the Rfam family "5.8S ribosomal RNA", at positions 35 to 154 of the family's 154-position model. The record is from RNAcentral.